UACGGGGGGGGCAAGCGUUGUUCGGAAUUACUGGGCGUAAAGGGCGCGUAGGCGGCGUGGUAAGUCACUUGUGAAAUCUCCGAGCUUAACUCGGAACGGUCAAGUGAUACUGCUGUGCUAGAGUGCGGAAGGGGCAACUGGAAUUCUCGGUGUAGCGGUGAAAUGCGUAGAUAUCCGGAAGAACACCGGUGGCGAAGGCGGCCUGCUGGGACGUGGCUGACGCUGAGGCGCGACAGCGUGGGGAGCAAACAGG
Molecule: ribosomal RNA, 253 nt
Filed under: uncultured bacterium
Lineage: Bacteria
Description: partial 16S ribosomal RNA
Rfam family: Bacterial small subunit ribosomal RNA
Source: RNAcentral